ACAUACGACCAUACCCAUUAGAAAACUUGGGAUCCCGUCCGCUCUCCCAUAGAUAAGCUAAUAAGGGGAGUCUUACCUAUGGAGAGUCGCAUUUC
RNAcentral lists this ribosomal RNA (95 nucleotides) under Colletotrichum salicis. The record is from RNAcentral. Lineage: Eukaryota; Fungi; Ascomycota; Sordariomycetes; Glomerellales; Glomerellaceae.